GUUCACAUACUAUAUUCAGUUACAGUAUAUGAACACAAGGUGUGUAUGGUAAUAGAAUGAGAUCACACCCUGCCUUCAAGUCUGCGACUUGCUUCUUCCUACAGUAACGUGUCAUGGACCACAUUCCAGUUUGGUCUAGAUACCCUGGCAGCAUGCUGUGGAUGUUUUUGUGGGUCGCUUUCCAUUUUUACCAGGAAAAGCAGUCUUGUGAUGAACAUGCUCUUGCGUAUACCUUUUCGAAUUUGUGCUAAUAUUUUAUAGAACAGAGUCCUAGAAAGUAGGUUUCUACAGAGUGAAGAUGAGGACAGCGGUUCAGCAGUGACUCUUCUGUGCCCUCUCUAGCCCCUCGGCCCCCACUCCAGGAAAAUGACCCUCCCUAGGUCCCCUAGUCCCCCCUCCCUCAGCUCGCCACCCCUCCCAGGACACGUCUAAUGGGUUGAGGCUGGGCAACUCAAAUGUCUCGUGCACGCAUGUGGCUGAAAUCAUCGAACCUGCCUUCGCUGUUGGUUCUCACAGGAGACAAAACGGAUUCAGCCGUUUGGGAUUUCAGGGUACACAUCCUGGGUUCAGCCCAUGCGUGAGCCUGUGUCGUGUGUCCACCUCGUACCUCGUAUGAGGCGAAAACUGCCUGCAGAUGAGAAAUGACUACUUUUCCUGCCCUUGGCCUUUUCACAGAGCUCCCAGUUUCAGAAAAUGAAGAAACCGAAACCCAGAGAGGGAAGUGGCCUACUCAGGGCCUGCCCCUUGCCGCCGGGUCAGGCUGGGUUUCUUGGACCCAGGGCAGGUGGGGACAGGGGUGGGGAGGUGGAAGUGGGUCACAGAGGUGGCCUAUAAGAGGCCACGCACAGGAGGGGCCGGAGCCAGCAUCAUUUCCAUUUCCCAGACUGUCGGACUCCUAAACCUCCCCUGUCCUUCCCCCCUUGACCUCUUUGAAAGUCUGAGAUCUGGGCUGCAGCUCUCAGGUUUGAGGUCACCAUCAGCUCCCCUCAGAGAGCAAUUCCACAAAGACUCUUCUUCCAGGAGAGCCCAAACCUGAAGUCCCCUCCCCAAGGCUGGAGGCCUGGCCUCCCCUCCACAUACAGCCAGUGAGACUUGCAGGCAGCCGGACGGGUCCACGUCCCACAGGGUUGGAACCGUGCACCUCUGGCCUCCACACUGCUUGGUGGGCAAACCUGGUGACUUCUCAAAGAUCACACAGGAUCCGAGUGGCGGUCCUUUGAAACCAAAACUGAUCAUGUCACUGCCACGUUUGAAGGACUCCAGUGGCUUCCUACAGCUCUCAGAUGAAGAGCACUUUCCGUUCGUUGGAUCCCAAGUUACUCCUUCGGAGAAGUUUUGCUUCCCAAGACCGUCCAAUGCAAAGCCAAGUAAUUGAAGACCAACUACUUCAAGGAGGAGUGGCUCUUUUUCAUUCACCAUUCUCUCCCAGUGUCUGGCACGUGGUGGAUGUUCAAUAAAUACUUGUUGGAUGAAUGGACUUGAUAGGUACUAAUUAUCUGAUUGCUUCCAUGAGCCAGCACAAUGCUGGGUAUGGGAGAACCCAGUGGAAUAAUGAAACAAAUGCAGGUUCUGAAAGGCUGGGGGGUAGUAGGCCAGGGAUGAGGCAGGUGGGGGGUUGGGUAAGUGCUAGAAUAUCAUUUCAAAGGGCUACAGGGACAUAAGUUUUGAGGUACCUUUGUGAUGCGGUUAAGUCAUUGCCUGAUGGUGUUUAAUCUUGCUGUUAAAUACAGACCCUGAAGAGAGGGGUCCUUUGCUUCUAUUUUUUGUCUCUCCCUCCCUGGACUCCUUGGCCUCCCUUUUAGCGUUUAGGCCAGGCCAGAUGUCUAUGGCAUGUAUGUUAAAGGGUUGGAUGAAUGGAUAAAUGGAUGGAUGGAUAGAUGGAUUGGAUGGAUGGAUGGAUUGACUAUAGGAUUGGAUGGAUAGAUGGAUAGGUGGAUUGGACGGGUAGACAGACGGACAAAUGGAUGGGAAGAUGGAUGGAUUUGAUGGAUGGAUGGAUAUAUGGUUUGAAUGGAUGGAGAAAUGGAUGAAUGGAUAGAUUAGAUGUGUGAAUGCAUUGGAUGGAUGGAUGGACUGACAAGUAGAUUGCAUAGAUAGAAUGAUAGGUGGAUUGGAUGGAUGGAUUAAGAAGUGGGUUGCAUGGAUAGAAUGAUAGGUGGAUUGGAUGGAUGGAUUGAGAAGUGGGUUGCAUGGAUAGAAUGAUAGGUGGAUUGGACGGAUGGAUGGAUGGAUUGGAUGGAUGGGUGGAUUGAAUGGAUUGAUGUAUGAAAUGGAUGGAUGAAUAGAUGAAUGAAAGAGCUAAGAGCUAAAAAAGCUGGCAGGGCCUCAGAGAUCUCUUAUCCACUCUCUGAUUUUUAAAAUGAGGAAACUGAAGUCUGAGAGAGUUGGAGAACAUCUUUAGUCAUUUCCUCUCUUUGAGAAUUUGUAUUGAAUUCUUCUCCUCAGUAUAUAAACAUGUUGAAAUA
Microcebus murinus (gray mouse lemur) is the source of this 2465-nucleotide long non-coding RNA. RefSeq lists it as uncharacterized. The record is from RefSeq and is a predicted model, not a curated record. Lineage: Eukaryota; Metazoa; Chordata; Mammalia; Primates; Cheirogaleidae.